RNAcentral lists this ribosomal RNA (788 nucleotides) under uncultured Neocallimastigales. RNAcentral's name for it is "partial large subunit ribosomal RNA". It matches the Rfam family "Eukaryotic large subunit ribosomal RNA", at positions 20 to 634 of the family's 3401-position model. The record is from RNAcentral. Lineage: Eukaryota; Fungi; Neocallimastigomycota; Neocallimastigomycetes; Neocallimastigales.
CAUCACUACGCUAGAUGCAUAUCAAUAAGCGGAGGAAAAGAAACUAACAAGGAUUCCCCUAGUAACGGCGAGUGAAGCGGGAAGAGCUCAAAUUUGAAAUCUUAAAAGGUUUUCCUUUUACGAAUUGUAGUUUAAAGAAGUGUUUUCUGUUGAAGUUUUGGUACAAGUUCUUUGGAAUAGGACAUCAUAGAGGGUGAGAAUCCCGUAUUUGGCCUUAAUUUUUCAACUUUGUGAUACACUUUCAAAGAGUCGGAUUGUUUGGGAAUGCAGUCCAAAAUGGGUGGUAAAUUUCAUCUAAGGCUAAAUAUUGGCGAGAGACCGAUAGCGAACAAGUACCGUGAGGGAAAGAUGAAAAGAACUUUGAAAAGAGAGUUAAACAGUACGUGAAAUUGUCAAAAGGGAAGCGUUUGGACACCAGUGUUGUUUUUCCUAAAAUCAAUUACGAAUUGCUUGAUGUUAGUGUUUUAUUGACCUUAAUCAGGCUUUCAUUCACUUUUUCGUAAGUCUUUCUUAAUGCACUUUUUAGUUAACAAGUCAACAUCAAUUUCUUUUGUUGUAAAAGAGUAAUGCGGAAGGUGGCUUGGCUUUCGAGAAGUGUUUAUAGCCCUAUACUUCAUGCAGUCGGAGAGAUUGAGGUCUGCAGCAUAGAUCCUUCGGGGUUAGAUAGCCUUUGUGCUAUGUUAGUAGCUAUUAUCAUAGACAACUUGUUGACUAUGUUAAUAUCUUGCGUCUUCUCGCUUAAGUGCUAUUUUACCUACGCUUAGGAUGUUGACUGAUAUGUAGUCGUA